This is a non-coding RNA of Doryrhamphus excisus (bluestripe pipefish), 293 nucleotides long. The record is from RefSeq and is a predicted model, not a curated record. NCBI's taxonomy places the organism in Eukaryota, Metazoa, Chordata, Actinopteri, Syngnathiformes, Syngnathidae.
UAUGUCUGUCUGCGUUUGUGAUAAAGGGCACAAGGCGAGCAGUAUUUCCCUCAACCAGAGUGCUUGAGCCAAGCAGAGGAGGCUUGUGUUGACAGCCUCCGUUUACUCAUGGAAAAAAGCACACAAUGUCAAGAAUAUACAACAAUGUUCCGUGGAGGGUACUACCCACCAAAGGAAGUUCCAAGAUGCAACAACAAUAAUGGAAUGUUUCUGAACAUGUACCUCGGAGUCAGUCCCUAUCUACUCUGAUGUAUGGGAAUUGUAAUGUCACCAGUUUUCCACAGUCUAAAUGU